CUCUUAUCGAGAGUGGUGGAGGGACGGGCCCGAUGAAACCCGGCAACCAGCCGCCCCCGGCGGUCCGGUGCCAACUCCCGCAGGCCGCGGCGCGGCCUGGAAGAUGAGGG
This 110-nucleotide non-coding RNA is filed under the name Limnochorda pilosa. RNAcentral describes it as "SAM-I sequence". It matches the Rfam family "SAM riboswitch aptamer (S box leader)". From Rfam's summary of the family: The SAM riboswitch is found upstream of a number of genes which code for proteins involved in methionine or cysteine biosynthesis in Gram-positive bacteria. The SAM riboswitch acts at the level of transcription termination control. Lineage: Bacteria; Bacillati; Bacillota; Limnochordia; Limnochordales; Limnochordaceae. The record is from Rfam by way of RNAcentral.